RNAcentral lists this ribosomal RNA (303 nucleotides) under uncultured bacterium. RNAcentral describes it as "partial 16S ribosomal RNA". It matches the Rfam family "Bacterial small subunit ribosomal RNA", at positions 507 to 807 of the family's 1533-position model. The record is from RNAcentral.
AGCAGCAGCCACGGGAAUACGAAGGGUGCAAGCGUUAAUCGGAAUUACUGGGCGUAAAGCGUGCGUAGGCGGUUUGUUAAGUCUGCUGUGAAAUCCCCGGGCUCAACCUGGGAAUGGCAGUGGAUACUGGCAAGCUAGAGUGUGUCAGAGGAUGGUGGAAUUCCCGGUGUAGCGGUGAAAUGCGUAGAGAUCGGGAGGAACAUCAGUGGCGAAGGCGGCCAUCUGGGACAACACUGACGCUGAGGCACGAAAGCGUGGGGAGCAAACAGGAUUAGAUACCCCAGUAGUCCCUGUCUCUUAUAC